Molecule: ribosomal RNA, 845 nt
Filed under: Nemania phetchaburiensis
Lineage: Eukaryota; Fungi; Ascomycota; Sordariomycetes; Xylariales; Xylariaceae
Description: SSU rRNA
Rfam family: Eukaryotic small subunit ribosomal RNA
Source: RNAcentral
UUCUCGAAUCGCACGGCCUUGCGCCGGCGAUAGUUCAUUCAAAUUUCUGCCCUAUCAACUUUCGAUGGCACGGUCUUGGCCCGCCAUGGUUUCAACGGGUAACGGAGGGUUAGGGCUCGACCCCGGAGAAGGAGCCUGAGAGACGGCUACUACAUCCAAGGAAGGCAGCAGGCGCGCAAAUUACCCAAUCCCGACACGGGGAGGUAGUGACAAUAAAUACUGAUACAGGGCUCUUUUGGGUCUUGUAAUUGGAAUGAGUACAAUUUAAAUCCCUUAACGAGGAACAAUUGGAGGGCAAGUCUGGUGCCAGCAGCCGCGGUAAUUCCAGCUCCAAUAGCGUAUAUUAAAGUUGUUGCAGUUAAAAAGCUCGUAGUUGAACCUUGGGCCUGGCUGGCCGGUCCGCCUCACCGCGUGCACUGGUUCGGCCGGGCCUUUCCCUCUGGGGAGCCCUAUGCCCUUCACUGGGUGUAGCGGGGAACCAGGACUUUUACUGUGAAAAAAUUAGAGUGUUCAAAGCAGGCCUAUGCUCGAAUACAUCAGCAUGGAAUAAUGGAAUAGGACGUGUGGUUCUAUUUUGUUGGUUUCUAGGACCGCCGUAAUGAUUAAUAGGGACAGUCGGGGGCAUCAGUAUUCAAUUGUCAGAGGUGAAAUUCUUGGAUCUAUUGAAGACUAACUACUGCGAAAGCAUUUGUCAAGGAUGUUUUCAUUAAUCAGGAACGAAAGUUAGGGGAUCGAAGACGAUCAGAUACCGUCGUAGUCUUAACCAUAAACUAUGCCGACUAGGGAUCGGACGAUGUUAUUCAAUUGACUCGUUCGGCACCUUACGAGAAAUCAAAGUCUAUGGG